This 2260-nucleotide long non-coding RNA is filed under the name Mus musculus (house mouse). Its description in RNAcentral is "long non-coding RNA chr19:32823437-32825697". The record is from RNAcentral. Lineage: Eukaryota; Metazoa; Chordata; Mammalia; Rodentia; Muridae.
AUUUUUCCCCCUCCUUGCUAUCCUUCCAAGCAAAGCAUCUUUCUGUCAUCUUGGUAGACACAUACCUGUCUACUCAUGGUUAAGAAGAGCACUUUAAGCCUUAGUCAUCACUUAAUAAGUUAUUCCAGGCACAGUAAAAAGUUCAAGGUUCUUGGAAAACGGUGCUUAUUUCUCUUCUUAUAAGCCAGAUGUCUGAAGAUAGCCCUAACCCCAAGAACGGGCUUGAUGUCUCAGGUCUGUUCUGUGGCUUUCUGUUUUUUUUAACACUGCAGUUGGCCAUCAGCACAUGGGAGGUUUCAUCGGGACUUGUCCAGAGUAGUAGGCUCAAAUAUACUAUCUCCUUUCUAAUAUUCUUAAAGGCUAAGGAGUCCUUUCAAUAUAACAGUAAGAUAACUUGUGAUGUUUUAGAAGUAAGCAGACCAUUAAUGUCAAUGUGGAGUCUUAAUGUUACAUGAAGUUGAUAGUUUCUCUGUGACCCAUUUAAAAAUACAAACCGAGUAGCAUGCAAUUAUGUAAAGAAAUAUGAAGAUUAUAUGUAGUCACACAUUUUCUUUAGAAUUCUUAGUUUGGUGAAAACUUGAAUAUAAAGGUAUUUUGAUUUAUAUGACAUUUUGAUGAUAUUUGAAAAAAAGGAAUUUCCUGACAUUUUGCUUUUAGAUCAUGUCCCCCAUUGUGCUGUAAUUUAAGCCAACUUGGUUCAGUGAAUGCCAUCACCAUUUCCAUUGAGAAUUUAAAACUCACCAGUGUUUAACAUGCAGGCUUCUGAGGGCUCCCGGAGAAUCAGACCUUAAGCCCAGUUGAUUUACUUCUAACGUGAAACUUCGAGUUCCUGUAUACUUUGCUAGAUAAUUUGUGGUACAUCUAAAGCUUAGUCUUAAGUGGCUUGUGUGUGGAUUUUAUUCAACAUUCUUGUUGCUAGGGUAGAGAGAAAUGUUGCUGAGUAGAAACAAGAGUACCCAGUUCAAUGUGGUACAGAGAGCAGUCCCUAAAAUCUGUACACAGUGUAAUGGACCACUUUAGGAGUCAAGAGGCUGAUUUUUCCUAUGAAAUUACAUUGCAACAGGAAGCCUUCUAGUAUAGUUCCUUUUACUGUUAGAAUAUGUUUUUAUGCAUACGCUAUAGCUGCUUUCCCAUCUUCCAACAACAGGUAUCAGGAUGUAAGCAAGCUUUAAACAGUGUGAAGAUGGCAGGAUAGUGUCAUCGGUAACAGUCCUCUGACUCUAAAUGUAGUUGCUCUGUAACACUUUGUGAAUAUAACAUCACAAUUCUCAUGUCCUUGGGGGGGGGGGGCAUACCCAGUAUUAGUAUGUUUUAGUGACUAAGCAAUCAUUUUUCUGUUUACUCAUGUACAUUUUCUCUUUAAAACUAAAACCUGUACUGUGUAUGUCUCCAAAGCCUUUUAGCUUAGUUUUUAGGAAAUGAACACUGAAUGGAUCACUUUUUAGUGUAGCAGGUAUGGGAUAUGUGCAUUAUAGAGAGACCUUGUCAGCUCUCUGGGCCUAUUUGAAUGUUUAUUGUUGGUGUGAGGAUGGUAGGGGAAUCAGUAAAUACAAGUUACGUUGGUUUAGCAGAGCAAGCUCAGUGUGGGUAUUUCUCUUUGAAGCGUGGUGCGUGACGCACUGUGAGUAGAGAAUUUGGUCACCCUUUGAGUCCUCUUGCAUUUUGCAAACUUGCUCAGCAAAUGCGUACCUACCUUGCCCCCUAGGUAAAAGCAGGAACUACUACUGAUUUAUCUGUCACUCAGCUGUCUUUAUAUGUGUGCUUCUGUGACUUGUAUCACACAAGAAUCUUAAAGAUUUCACAAAUUGUUACCUUUUAGCUCUGAAUGUUGAGUAUUCUGGUGGGCUAACAACAAGACAAACUCUUGACAGUCAUUUGAGAAUUUUCAUGAAACAUUUAGCUGAAAACAUUUUAUAAUUUAUGAAAAAAAUGUGUUACCUUAAACUUUUACAUAUGUGGGAGACAUUAACUGCCAUAUUUGAGCAUACUGAAUUUUAAAUUUAAAAUAAAGCUGCAUAUUUUUAAAUGAAAUGUUUAACAAGGAUUCAUAUUUUUUGUUUUUUAAGAUUAAAAAUAAUUUAUGUCUUCUCAUGUGGAACCUCAUCUGUCACAAUGGUUAGAUUAUACAGAAUGGAGCAAGGCUUGUAGUGGUUUAGCUUACAGUAAAAUUCUUAAUGUUUAGAUGUGUUUACUUACUGGCUGUUAUGUAUACUUUUGAGAUUUUCCACCUGUUCUGUGUAGUUUUCUAAAUGAUACUCCU